ACUUAGUGGCGAACGGGUGAGUAUAAUGUGGGUAUCUGCCUUUUGGUUUGGAAUAACACGAGGAAACUUGUGCUAAUACCGGAUAAGCCUUUACGGGGAAAGUUUUAACGCCAAAAGAUGAGCCCGCACUUGAUUAGCUAGUUGGUAAGGUAAUGGCUUACCAAGGCUACGAUCAAUAGCUGAUCUGAGAGGAUGAUCAGCCACAUUGGGACUGGGACACGGCCCAAACUCCUACGGGAGGCAGCAGUGGGGAAUCUUGCACAAUGGGGGAAACCCUGAUGCAGCGAUGCCGCGUGAGUGAAGAAGGCCUUUGGGUUGUAAAGCUCUUUCGUCGGGGAAGAAAAUGACUGUACCCGAAUAAGAAGGUCCGGCUAACUUCGUGCCAGCAGCCGCGGUAAUACGAAGGGACCUA
RNAcentral lists this ribosomal RNA (412 nucleotides) under uncultured marine bacterium. RNAcentral's name for it is "bacterial SSU rRNA". It matches the Rfam family "Bacterial small subunit ribosomal RNA", at positions 90 to 537 of the family's 1533-position model. The record is from RNAcentral.